GAUGAACGCUGGCGGUGUGCCUAACACAUGCAAGUCGAGCGGACGGACGAUAAGCUUGCUUCUCUGAUGGUAGCGGCGGACGGGUGAGUAACACGUACAUAGCCUACUUAUAUUACUGGGAUAACUUCGGGAAGCCGGAGCUACUACUACCUAAUAUUUUGAACCGCAUGGUUCAAAGGUGCUAGACGGUCUUGCUGUCUCAUAUAGAUGGAUCCGGGUCGCAUUAUCUAGGGGGUAAGGGAACGCCCUACCAAGGCAACGAUGCAUAGCCGACCGGAGAGGAUGAUCGGCCACACUGGAACUGAGACACGGUCAGACUCCUAAGGGAGGCAGCAGUGGGGAAUUUUGGAGCAUGGGCGCAAGCCCGAUCCAGCCAUCGCGCGUGGGUGAAGAAGGGUUUCGGGUUGUAAAGCCCUUGUUAUGGGAAAGAAACAUAGGAGUAAAUAACCCUGCUGAUCUGACCGUAACCAAAGAAGAAGGCCAGGCUAACUUCCGG
This 496-nucleotide ribosomal RNA is filed under the name uncultured bacterium. RNAcentral's name for it is "partial 16S ribosomal RNA". It matches the Rfam family "Bacterial small subunit ribosomal RNA", at positions 28 to 507 of the family's 1533-position model. The record is from RNAcentral.